Musa acuminata AAA Group (dessert banana) is the source of this 1926-nucleotide long non-coding RNA. RefSeq lists it as uncharacterized. The record is from RefSeq and is a predicted model, not a curated record. The transcript has 5 exons. NCBI's taxonomy places the organism in Eukaryota, Viridiplantae, Streptophyta, Magnoliopsida, Zingiberales, Musaceae.
CCAUUCGAACGACAAGUUCGACCGAGGGUUUGAAACCCUAGCGAAUCGAGGACGUAAAAGAAAUAGCAACCCGUUUGGAUCUGUCAUCUCUGAUCGUGUCGUUCGCCUCGAUGAGUAAUGCAGGAAAUUAUCUCGGGGACUCGCUGGAUGGUUUCUAAAGUGUGCAACUUUCUCAUCCAUUCUAAAUAUAUCUACACAUUCAUGAUUUACUCCAAGUGGGCAACAAAUCUAAAUAGGUUCAUGCAGAGACUCCUCAAACUGCAGUCCUUCCAUCUCAAGGAAGAUCGAACCAGGACAUCUGAUGAUCAGCGGAGAAAGGAUGUUGGAAGAGAGUUAGAAAGGGAUUCUAGUCGUAGCAGGUCCAGUAGAGGCUACAAGUCUCAGAAGAAUUCUGAGAGGCAUCCAUAUGGAUAUUCCCAUGACUACAGAAGACAUGGUGAUUAUAGUAGGCAUGACAGGCAUAUUGAUGACAAUAAUAGAAAUUAUCGGCAGUCAUCAAGGUCUGGUAAAGAACCGAGGAACAAAAAAUGAGAGAACAACUGAUAAAUACCGAGACAGUGAAAGAAAUUUCAGAACAUAAAAAUAAGAACAGUGAAAGAAAUUCUAUGAAAGAUUAUGAUAGAGCUGAUGCUAGAAAUAAACUAGUAGGGUUAGGUAGAGAUUAUGAUUCAGAGGAGGACCAGCAAAGAGAGAGAGAAUCACAAGAUUACGAAAAAGAUUAUCAUAGGAAUCCUGAAAGUCAUAAGAAUGAUAAGGUAGCAUCACAUGAGGAAUUGAGGGGAUAUGACAAAGAUUCAACUGAUGGAAAGGAUACUAGUGCACCUCAACUGAAAAAAGCUGACAGCAAUAAUAAGAUGGAUUUGUAUGGGUGGGAGGAUCUGGUACCAAGAAGGAAAUAUAAUGAAUGGGAAGGUGGUAUGCUCUUCCGAAUGCAAAGAACUUCAGACUGAGAGAAGUUUGUAAAGUCACCAAGGGAUGGAUGGUAAAAAUGCCUCUGUGAUUUGAUAGACAAGCAAAAUUCUUUUUUAAGAGAACCUAAACCUGGUCACUUGGAACAUGGAAAUGCUGUUGAUGAAGUGCCAUCAUCUAGUUCAAAACAGACUAAGGAGACACAUGAGAAAGUAAAUUCUGAGACUUUGAACUCAUCUAUCAAUGAUGCUGAAUCUACUAAUGAUGUUAAUUCAGCAAAAGUUGCUGCUUUGAAAGCUGCGGAAUUAGUGAAUAAAAACCUUGUAGGUUUUGGAGGGGUUGGAUACUUGUCCACUGACCAAAAGAAAAAGCCACUUUGGGGUAACAAAAAGAACAGCACUUACUGAAGAGGUGAUACCUAUCAUUUUGGAUCAAGUGGAAAAUUGUUCAUCUAGGUGUCCGUCAUCACAUUACUGAUUUCAGUGUCAAAAGUCUCAGUCCUCCAGUUGCUGGGACUUCCAUCUGUUCUCCAACCAGGAGUCUCAGGAGAAGUUCAAUAGACUCAUGGUAAUUUCUAUCCUUCAAUUGUUUUACAAUCAUGUUCCUUGUAGUAGUUGGUAUGUACCCACAAAAUUGUUUCAGUCAUAGCAAUUUAUUAGAUAUCGACACCUACUAACACGUUUCCAGAGUCUGAGGUUGCCUUUGUGACUAUGGCCAAUUGUCGGAUGUGAAAUGAAAUGCGGCUGCAGAGCACAGAUCGGACAUGAAGCAUGUAAAUCUUCAAGUAAAGAAAUCCAUGCCGAUCUGGAAAAGCAAUAUACAGCUGGGCUUCGGCGAAGAGAUGGUCGAACUUGGUUUGUAAUGACAUCAAUUUUCUCUCCUCUUUUCAAAUGCAUCACAGACGUGUGGUGAAAAACUUGGCAAGCUUGCUUUCCAUUGUGCAAGAACAGUUUCAUGCUUGCUUGUAAGCCACUGUUAUUCCAUCAGAUUUUAAUGGAAAGUUACUUGCGUUGAGUA